Molecule: long non-coding RNA, 324 nt
Filed under: Zostera marina
Lineage: Eukaryota; Viridiplantae; Streptophyta; Magnoliopsida; Alismatales; Zosteraceae
Description: long non-coding RNA (ZMAR_LNC001294)
Source: RNAcentral
GAAAGUGAAUUACAGUUACAGUAUGAGUGUUAUAUAAUAGCGUAAAAUGUUAUGAUUCUCAUUGAUUUCAAUGAUUAUGAUUCUGUAUAUGUGAUGUGGCUGACAUUAGGGAACCCAUACUGAGUCGAUGAAAUAUUUGACUCACCCAUUUGUGUGUUCAUUGUGUGAUAAGAUGGAACCAAUGAAAAGAUUCACGCCGGGGAAGGGGCGAAGUUCAUUGAGUUUUGUUUUGUUGUUUUGUUAAACUAUAUCUGUAAUAGAGAUUAUUGUUUAAGUGGAUUAUGGAAUAUGCAUAUUUUAGAUAUUGAUAUUUAAACUUUUAAG